This 292-nucleotide ribosomal RNA is filed under the name uncultured bacterium. RNAcentral's name for it is "partial 16S ribosomal RNA". It matches the Rfam family "Bacterial small subunit ribosomal RNA", at positions 336 to 620 of the family's 1533-position model. The record is from RNAcentral.
UUCCUACGGGGCGCAGCAGUAAGGAAUUUUCGUCAAUGGGCGCAAGCCUGAACGAGCAACGCCGCGUGAACGAGGAAGGUCUUCGGAUCGUAAAGUUCUGUUGAAGGGGAAAAAGAGCGGAGAGAGGAAAUGAACUCCGAUUGAUAUUACCCUUCGAGGAAGUCACGGCUAACUACGUGCCAGCAGCCGCGGUAAUACGUAGGUGGCGAGCGUUAUCCGGGAUGAUUGGGCGUAAAGGGUGCGUAGGCGGCCUGCUAAGUCUGGAGUGAAAGGUACCGGCUCAACAGGUACA